RNAcentral lists this ribosomal RNA (526 nucleotides) under Scincus scincus (sandfish skink). RNAcentral describes it as "partial large subunit ribosomal RNA". It matches the Rfam family "Bacterial large subunit ribosomal RNA", at positions 1817 to 2597 of the family's 2925-position model. Lineage: Eukaryota; Metazoa; Chordata; Lepidosauria; Squamata; Scincidae. The record is from RNAcentral.
AGCCUUUAGCCCAACCAGUAUUAAAGGUCCCGCCUGCCCAGUGAAAAUUUUAACGGCCGCGGUAUUCUAACCGUGCAAAGGUAGCGUAAUCACUUGUCUUCUAAAUAAAGACCAGUAUGAACGGCUAAAUGAGGACAGACCUGUCUCCUAUGACUAAUCAGUGAAACUGAUCUUCCAGUACAAAAGCUGGAAUACAGACAUAAGACGAGAAGACCCUGUGGAGCUUCAAACAUCCACUAACAAGCAAAUAAUCUGCCCUAGUGUGUAGUUUUGAGUUGGGGCGACUUCGGAGUAAAAUAAAACCUCCGAGCACAGAGCCACACACUCUCACCAAGACCAACAAGCCAAAGUUAAAACAGCCGACCCAGUAACACUGAUCAACGAACCAAGUUACCCCAGGGAUAACAGCGCUAUCUUCUUCAAGAGUCCCUAUCGACAAGAAGGUUUACGACCUCGAUGUUGGAUCAGGACACCCAAAUGGUGCAGCCGCUAUUAAUGGUUCGUUUGUUCAACGAUUAACAGUCCU